UCAUUAUAUUUCUCAUCCCUUCCUCUUCUUUCUUAGCAGGUCUUAUCUUGCAAACUGCAGAUGGCUGCAUCUGAUGAGCUAUCAAAACCAGGUGAUCUAGUGCUUCUAAGACUGACUGACGAAGUUAUAAAGAGAAAGCUUCAAUGUGUUGACACCGCUUUGAUUCUCUGUAGAAGCAAGAUGGAGAUGAUAUCCCAUCAGUCUGUGGAAAAUCAGCAGGACAUGGUUUGCAGAGGAUUUCUGUCAUCAUCAAGCAUUCAUCUACCAUUUCUUAAGAAAACAACACACAGAUGCUAUCAUGUCUUCAUGGCAAAAAUCUCUACCAAGAAAGCAAUUCAGCAUAGCACACUUGUGUGACAAUUUAUGUAGCCAGAAUGUUCUCAGUCCCUCAUUGCUGCACUAUGGGCUCCAAAGAGAAGACCUGUGAGCACUGCAGUGCAGAGUCUUCACCUUUCUCUUUUGAAUUCAUGUAUGUCCUGCAAAUCUUCAGUAUCAAAAUAUAAUAAGCUAAAAUUUGUAAAACAUCAUGUAAAAGCAGCAUAAGCUUUCAUGACUCUGGGGAUGUGAACACCUUUUAAGAAAAAACCACCAAACAUAACAACAAAACACAAAGAAAAAAACA
Molecule: long non-coding RNA, 622 nt
Organism: Pezoporus occidentalis (night parrot)
Lineage: Eukaryota; Metazoa; Chordata; Aves; Psittaciformes; Psittacidae
Exons: 3
Source: RefSeq, a predicted model, not a curated record